CAAAGGAGCAAUCCGCUGAAAGAUGGGCUCGCGUCCGAUUAGGUAGUUGGUGAGGUAACGGCCCACCAAGCCGACGAUCGGUAGCCGGACUGAGAGGUUGGACGGCCACAUUGGGACUGAGACACGGCCCAGACUCCUACGGGAGGCAGCAGUAAGGGAUAUUGGUCAAUGGGGGAAACCCUGAACCAGCAACGCCGCGUGAGGGAAGACGGUUUUCGGAUUGUAAACCUCUGUCCUCUGUGAAGAUGAUGACGGUAGCAGAGGAGGAAGCUCCGGCUAACUACGUGCCAGCAGCCGCGGUAAUACGUAGGGAGCGAGCGUUGUCCGGAUUUACUGGGUGUAAAGGGUGCGUAGGCGGCUGUGCAAGUCAGUAGUGAAAUCCAUGGGCUUAACCCAUGAACUGCUAUUGAAACUGCACAGCUUGAGUGAAGUAGAGGUAGGCGGAAUUCCCGGUGUAGCGGUGAAAUGCGUAGAGAUCGGGAGGAACACCAGUGGCGAAGGCGGCCUACUGGGCUUUAACUGACGCUGAGGCACGAAAGCGUGGGUAGCAAACAGGAUUAGAUACCCUGGUAGUCCACGCUGUAAACGAUGAUUACUAGGUGUGGGGGGACUGAACC
This 617-nucleotide ribosomal RNA is filed under the name uncultured bacterium. RNAcentral describes it as "bacterial SSU rRNA". It matches the Rfam family "Bacterial small subunit ribosomal RNA", at positions 202 to 837 of the family's 1533-position model. The record is from RNAcentral.